UCGAGCGCCGGAAGGGCUCGAGGAUUGAGACGGGCGCCGGGCCGGUGUCCGGCGUCCGCUCGUAUCCAUCUUGCUCCAAGGAGGAUUUGGCUAUGAGAG
This 99-nucleotide small RNA is filed under the name Nitrobacter sp. Nb-311A. RNAcentral's name for it is "Repression of heat shock gene expression (ROSE) element". It matches the Rfam family "Repression of heat shock gene expression (ROSE) element". Rfam says of the family: This family represents a 5' UTR cis-regulatory element found in heat shock mRNAs and is known as the ROSE (repression of heat shock gene expression) element. The ROSE element is a negative regulator of heat shock gene expression. The record is from Rfam by way of RNAcentral. Lineage: Bacteria; Pseudomonadati; Pseudomonadota; Alphaproteobacteria; Hyphomicrobiales; Nitrobacteraceae.